CGGGGAUGAUCUGGCUGUCACCUCUGCCACCCCAUUGAGCGUCAUUGUCAACUCAGCUGAUCUGGCUGGCUAGGCAGGAUGCCACCUUUACUUCUCA
This 97-nucleotide small RNA is filed under the name Mus pahari (shrew mouse). RNAcentral's name for it is "sRNA (MGP_PahariEiJ_G0008349.1)". It matches the Rfam family "7SK RNA", at positions 7 to 100 of the family's 331-position model. From Rfam's summary of the family: 7SK was discovered as an abundant small nuclear RNA in the mid-70s but a possible function has only recently been suggested. Two independent studies have found that 7SK RNA binds the CDK9/cyclin T complex (known as elongation factor P-TEFb). P-TEFb activates transcription by phosphorylating the C-terminal domain of RNA polymerase II. The record is from RNAcentral. Lineage: Eukaryota; Metazoa; Chordata; Mammalia; Rodentia; Muridae.